CUGGCGGCGUGCCUAAUACAUGCAAGUCGAACGGUCUUUCUAUGGAAGCUGCUUCACUGAGAAGAUAGUGGCGAACGGGUGAGGUAACACGUGGGUAACCUGCCCAUAAGAGGGGGAUAACAUCCGGAAACGGGUGCUAAUACCGCAUAGUUUUCUUGAUUGCAUGAUUGAGAAAGGAAAGACGGCCUUUGUGCUGUCGCUUAUGGAUGGACCCGCGGCGUAUUAGUUAGUUGGUGAGGUAACGGCUCACCAAGACGAUGAUACGUAGCCGACCUGAGAGGGUGAUCGGCCACAUUGGGACUGAGACACGGCCCAAACUCCUACGGGAGGCAGCAGUAGGGAAUCUUCCGCAAUGGACGAAAGUCUGACGGAGCAACGCCGCGUGAGUGAAAGAAGGUUUUUCGGAUCGUAAAACGUCUGUUGUCAGAGAAGAACAAGUUGGAGAGUAACUGCUCCAGCCUUGACGGUAUCUGACCAGAAAGCCACGGCUAACUACGUGCCAGCCGCGGC
RNAcentral lists this ribosomal RNA (510 nucleotides) under uncultured bacterium. RNAcentral describes it as "bacterial SSU rRNA". It matches the Rfam family "Bacterial small subunit ribosomal RNA", at positions 36 to 518 of the family's 1533-position model. The record is from RNAcentral.